Non-coding RNA from Chrysemys picta bellii (western painted turtle), 405 nucleotides. Lineage: Eukaryota; Metazoa; Chordata; Testudines; Emydidae. The record is from RefSeq and is a predicted model, not a curated record.
UUGUCUCGUGCGGGGCCGUUGGAGCCUUGCACGGGACCGAGAAGGGUUUUGUGUCUCCCGGCUCUGGGCAUGCGCAAAUGGGGGGGAGGGGAGUCCCGCAUGCGCAGAGGCAGCGCUCACCCGCUGCUGCUCCCUGGCGCUGCUGGGGCCGGGCGGAGCAGGAGGGUCUGUGCCGGGGAGACCCAUUAACCCCCCCGUGCCCGGCCCGCGCCCUGCUCCCGCUGGGGCCGCCCCGGGCUCUGCCCGCCCCGCUGCGGAGCUGCAGCCUCCAGGCUACAGAUUAACGUCCACGUUUCGCUCCAGAUCAUCCCAUCCUCCCAUGGGGAAAGAAAUGGCUGCAAUGGAGCUGGCUCAGAGGCUGGUGACUUUUGAGGAGGUGGCUGUGCAUUUCACCAGGGAAGAGGG